GGGGAUUUAGCUCAGCGGCAUAAGCGCCUGCCUUGCAAGCAGGAAGUCAUGAGUUCGAUCCCCA
RNAcentral lists this transfer RNA (64 nucleotides) under Cavia porcellus (domestic guinea pig). It matches the Rfam family "tRNA", at positions 1 to 62 of the family's 71-position model. From Rfam's summary of the family: Transfer RNA (tRNA) molecules are approximately 80 nucleotides in length. Their secondary structure includes four short double-helical elements and three loops (D, anti-codon, and T loops). The record is from Rfam by way of RNAcentral. Lineage: Eukaryota; Metazoa; Chordata; Mammalia; Rodentia; Caviidae.